Non-coding RNA from Elaeis guineensis (African oil palm), 1491 nucleotides. The record is from RefSeq and is a predicted model, not a curated record. NCBI's taxonomy places the organism in Eukaryota, Viridiplantae, Streptophyta, Magnoliopsida, Arecales, Arecaceae.
AGAGAGAGACAUAUCAACUCUGCUGUCCUGGUCUGAUAAUUAGCUAUAGCUUAUAUGUCUGAGGUGAUGGCACAAUGGAUUCAUUUAUCAACAUCCUUUGAAGAAAUAGCUUCAGCGAUGCAGAAGCCAGUGUAUACUGCAAACACAUUGUGAAUCCUUCAGGUAAAGCAGCCACGAAUCAGUAUGGCAAACUUCCACUCAAAAUCACUUUGUAAAGAUUUAUGGCUCUAAAGGAGGUUGUGGCUAUUGCUUUAUCGAAUCAUUUUAAAGCAUCAACAGGCUGGACCUUUCUUGGUGUUCCUAUGUCCACUUGUAGACUAAUCUUAAGCCUCUUCUGCAGCAAAUUAGGGAGAUAUUGCGAGGGUGGUUUUGGAAAACUAUUGCCUUUUUGAGUUGGGGGUAGUUUUAUUCAGCAAUUUCUUCUGCCAUCCCUGUUUAUUUUGUUCUCACAUUGCGAGGGUACCUUUGAGGGUGGUGGAUCCGAUUGAAUCCAUGAUGCAGGCUUUCUGUGGGCAGUGGCGGUACACAAGUCUCUGGUUUGUAGGCUGAAGGGAAGCAAUGGAAUCUUGAGUUACUUGAACUGUUUAGGGACAACCUAGCUAGAACUAUAGCGUUGGUUCCAAUUCUGAGAGGUCAGUGGGAGGGCAGGUUAGGUUGGGCUAUGUCAUUGGUUUGAAAUGAUUUGGAGCAUUUACUUGGACUCCUGAGGGAGGAUCCACCUCUGAAAUCAAAACUAUGGUAAAUUAUGCUGGCUGAUUGCUCCGGAAUGCUUGGAAAUGCCUCGACUCAUUGCAGAGAAAGCUGUGGGCUGUGCGUCAGAAUCUAUGAUCGCUGUUCGGUGCACAAUAUCGACAGGUCUGCCUGGUGCUGUGCUGUGCAAGUGAGACCAUCCGACCCCAACACCCUGUUAACACAUCUCCUUCUGGUCGCCCCACCCAUCCGGACUUUGAAGAUCAGCUUCCAUGCUUCAUUUUAUCGCCAUAACCAAUGUUGUUGGUGUAGGUUUUGUUGUCUGGGUUGCAAAGCCAUGUCAUUUGUUCCAAUUGCACCAAGGCUGUUCUCUUGGAUGUCAUGUCUGUUUCACAAUCAGAGCUUCUUCUGUUGGCCUUGUGGGCAAUUACCUUUGCUAUGAAGGGCGACUCCGCUACGUGAUCAAAUAGGUUUCCUCAACUUUGAUGUCUUAUUUCACCUUGUUUGCUGGAUACCGGGGUGGCCUCUUAAAAACAUUCAGUCACACACCUUUUGGAAAAGGAAUAGCAUGGUAUAUGCUAUCUGAUCUGUACAGGUGGCGAUUUAAGCUGCACCAUCAGAUACGACCCAAUCCAGUCUUCAUUGGAUGGGUUUUACUCGAUCCGUUUAGAAUUAGCGGUGAGGAUGGGCUUCGAUUUAAAACCUGCAGCAGGCCGAUACUGGGCCAGUGCGGGUGAUGGUGAUGCUUAUUCCAAGCCCAAGCCGAUUCUACAACCCUAAACCAUCCACUGAAUUUCCCAA